This 60-nucleotide transfer RNA is filed under the name Caudoviricetes sp. Its description in RNAcentral is "tRNA-OTHER". Lineage: Duplodnaviria; Heunggongvirae; Uroviricota; Caudoviricetes. The record is from RNAcentral.
UAUAAAUCUUCGCGCCAGCUUUGGGAGCAGGGGGUCGUGGGUUCGAAUCCCGCUACCCCG